This 795-nucleotide ribosomal RNA is filed under the name uncultured Glomeromycotina. Its description in RNAcentral is "SSU rRNA". It matches the Rfam family "Eukaryotic small subunit ribosomal RNA", at positions 314 to 1114 of the family's 1831-position model. Lineage: Eukaryota; Fungi; Glomeromycota. The record is from RNAcentral.
AUCAACUUUCGAUGGUAGGAUAGAGGCCUACCAUAGUUUUAACGGGUAAUGGGGAAUUAGGGUUCGAUUCCGGAGAGGGAGCCUGAGAAACGGCUACUACAUCCAAGGAAGGCAGCAGGCACGCAAAUUACCCAAUCCCGAUACGGGGAGGUAGUGACAAUAAAUAACAAUACAGGGCUCUUAUGGGUCUUGUAAUUGGAAUGAGUACAAUUUAAAUUCCUUAACGAGAAACAAUUGGAGGGCAAGUCUGGUGCCAGCAGCCGCGGUAAUUCCAGCUCCAAUAGCGUAUAUUAAAGUUGUUGCAGUUAAAAAGCUCGUAGUUGAAUUUCGGGGUUCUACCGUUGGUCGGGCAAUAGUCUGUACUGGCAUGUGGAACUUCUACCUUCUGGGGAACCAUCAUGUUAUUAAUUUAGUGUGGUGGGAAACCAGGACCUUUAUCUUGAAAAAAUUAGAGUGUUCGAAGCAGGCUUAUGUCUGAAUACAUUAGCAUGGAAUAAUAAAAUAGGAUGGUAGUCCUGUUUUGUUAAUUUCUGAAUCACCGUAAUGAUUAAUAAAGAUAGUUGGGGGCAUUAGUAUUCAAUUGUCAGAGGUGAAAUUUUUGGAUUUAUUGAAGACUAACUUCUGCGAAAGCAUUUGCCAAGGAUGUUUUCAUUAAUCAAGAAUGAAAGUUAGGGGAUCGAAGACGAUCAGAUACUGCCGUAGUCUUAACCAUAAACUAUGCCGACUAGGGAUCAGACGAUGUUAAUUUUUCUUGACUCGUUCGGCGCCUUACGGGAAACCAAAGUGUUUGGGUUC